This 1226-nucleotide long non-coding RNA is filed under the name Solanum lycopersicum (tomato). Its description in RNAcentral is "ABC transporter I family member 7 (ABCI7)". Lineage: Eukaryota; Viridiplantae; Streptophyta; Magnoliopsida; Solanales; Solanaceae. The record is from RNAcentral.
ACUUGUCUUCUUCAUUUGGCACUUCUGUGUGCAGAUAAUUAAGUAACUACACUGAAUCUCAGUUUGGUAACUCACAUACCAUGGAGAUAUCACAAAGUUGGAGCAAAAUUAGUCCUCAGCUCCAUAGCUCACACUCCUUGGAGAUUUCAUUAGGAGAAAGAGGGCAUCUACUAGCAGUGGAAAUGAAUGAUAUUAAAGGUGCAACAGAAACUAAGAUUGAGGUUAGGGAACUGAACAAGGUAUCAGAUAAGGGUGAUUCUAUACUGAAGAGUGUUAGAGUUGACAUAACAAGAGGAGUAAUCAUGGGGAUUAUUGGCCCCAGUGGUAGCGGAAAAUCAACAAUUUUACGAGCGCUAAAUCGAUUAUGGGAACCCCUAAGGGCACUGUUUUUCUUGAUGGUACUGAUAUUUGUGAUCUGGAUGUGCUCUGUCUUCGUCGUAAGGUUGGCAUGUUGUUCCAGCUUCCAGUUCUCUUUGAAGGUACAGUGGCAGAUAAUAUACGUUACGGGCCAAAACUCAAGGGAAAGAAACUAAGUGAUAAUGAGGUUUACAAGUUGCUGACUUUGGCUGAUCUAGACUCAUCUUUCUUCAACAAGUCAGGUGGGGAACUAUCUGUUGGCCAAGCACAGAGAGUUGCACUUGCCAGAACCUUAGCUAAUGAACCAGAGGUUCUGCUAUUGGAUGAGCCAACUAGUGCAUUAGAUCCAAUAUCAACACAGAAUAUCGAGGACGUUCUAGUAAAGCUCAAGAAGGAUCAGAAGAUGACAAUUGUGAUAGUUUCUCAUAGCAUCAAGCAAAUACAGAGAAUAGCUGAUAUAGUGUGCCUGCUGGUUGAUGGGGAGAUUGUGGAAAUUAUAAAGCCUGAUCAACUCUCUGAAGCUAAGCAUCCCAUGGCACUAAGAUUUCUUCAACUCAGCUCCUAGUGUAUUUUAGGCGAAAAGUAGAACCAGGGACAAGGAAAGUACAUCAAGGCACGAACUAGCGGAGAAGCAUGAUAAUGGUUAGCAAGAGAGAUUCAAGUCACCAAAAUAUGGAAGAAUCUCAACCCAUUCGAGUGAGCCAAUCUUAACUGAGGUUAAUUUAGCUACUGAAACUACGUGUAGAAAAAUACACUUUAAUAAAAAAGGUAUUUUACCUCCCACGACAAUCUUUCCGAUGGCGCAACCAAGAAAAACGGGGCAAAUUCUUGUAAAGGUUUUAAAUAGAAAUAUGAAUUAAUAUCACCAA